GUUUUGGUGCUUUUCAUCUAGUUUUCGUGAAGAUGGGUUUGGGUCCUGAUUCUGUAAAGGUGAAGAAUUUUGAAGAUAAAUCAAAGAGCAAGAAGAAGAAGGAAGAUGAGGGGAGUAGAAAAGAGAAGGAGAUUGGGUGUUGGGCUAAAUUCAGCUUGAUGGGAGGUUGCAUGCCUAAAAGAUCAAAAGUUGAUAGCUCUCUAAGCGGAAUCACUACUCAGUAUGUGCAAUCUAAAUCUACGGAUGAGAAGAGCACAGACCAACCAGUUGUUCCUGUGAUGUCCUUUACAACUAGUAAUGGAGAAAGUACCUCAUCCACUCCAAAAUUCAGUGAGGAACUGAAGCUUGCAUCUCAGCUCCGAAAGUUUACAUUCAACGACCUUAAAUUAGCGACUAGGAAUUUCAGGCCAGAGAGUCUUCUUGGGGAGGGUGGUUUUGGUUGUGUCUUUAAAGGGUGGGUCGAGGAGAAUGGAACUGCUCCUGUGAAACCUGGCA
Molecule: unclassified non-coding RNA, 495 nt
Filed under: Hevea brasiliensis (rubber tree)
Lineage: Eukaryota; Viridiplantae; Streptophyta; Magnoliopsida; Malpighiales; Euphorbiaceae
Source: RNAcentral